UACGUAGGGGGCUAGCGUUGUCCGGAAUCAUUGGGCGUAAAGAGCGUGUAGGCGGCCCGGUAAGUCCGCUGUGAAAGUCGGGGGCUCAACCCUCGAAUGCCGGUGGAUACUGUCGGGCUAGAGUGCGGAAGAGGCGAGUGGAAUUCCUGGUGUAGCGGUGAAAUGCGCAGAUAUCAGGAGGAACACCGGUGGCGAAGGCGGAUCUCUGGGCCUGAUCUGACGCUGAGGCGCGAAAGCUAGGGGAGCGAACAGG
RNAcentral lists this ribosomal RNA (253 nucleotides) under uncultured bacterium. Its description in RNAcentral is "partial 16S ribosomal RNA". It matches the Rfam family "Bacterial small subunit ribosomal RNA", at positions 524 to 776 of the family's 1533-position model. The record is from RNAcentral.